GACGAACGCUGGCGGCGUGCUUAACACAUGCAAGUCGAACGGAAAGACCAGGCUUUUGCUCUUCUCACGUUGCGAACGGGCGGGUGAGUCACGCGUGGAUAACCCUCCUCUUAGACUUAGAUAACUUCGAGAAGCCGGAACUACUACCAGAUGCCAUAUUUAACCUCAUGGUUCGAUAGUGAAAUCCGGGUUUGCUGAGCUCUCUACAUAGCACCGCGCUGCAUGAGCUAGUUGGUACGGUAACGGCUUACCAUGGCAACGAUGCGUAGCCGACCUGACAGGGUGAUCGGCCACACUGGAAGUGAGACACGGUCCAGACUCCUACGGGAGGCAGCAGUAGGGAAUCUUCCGCAAUGGGGGGAAGCCUGACGGAGCAACGCCACGUGAGUGAUGAGAGUCUUCGGAGCGGAAAACUCUGUUAUGAGGGAAGAACAAAUGCGUAAGUAACUAUGCACGUCGUGACGGUACCUAGUCAGAAAGCCACGGCUAACUACGUG
Molecule: ribosomal RNA, 497 nt
Filed under: uncultured bacterium
Lineage: Bacteria
Description: partial 16S ribosomal RNA
Rfam family: Bacterial small subunit ribosomal RNA
Source: RNAcentral